RNAcentral lists this long non-coding RNA (9224 nucleotides) under Triticum aestivum (bread wheat). Its description in RNAcentral is "long non-coding RNA (TAES_LNC005190)". The record is from RNAcentral. Lineage: Eukaryota; Viridiplantae; Streptophyta; Magnoliopsida; Poales; Poaceae.
AUGUUUUCAAAACUUGCAUUAGUUCGGGUUUCCCCCAGUUCCGUCCAUUGUCCGUUCUAAGCCCAACCACACUCGCACGCGCCCGCGGCACGUCCGAAAUAUUAUUUUAUAAGUGGCCGGAAAAUGUUCUCGGAUUGGGUUGAAAGUUGGCGUGUGGUCUUAUUAUAGUGUAGAUAGACCGCCUGUCAAGUUUCAUCGCAUUUGGAGUCCGUUUGAUGUCCCAACGGAUAACUAUAGCGGCAGUAUAGCCGGUCUUUUCGUCGGACGUUUUCGGUCUCUGGAAACCCUGCUGUGCUGCAUCUCUCCCCUCUUCUCUCAGACCAACCCGCUCUCCACAGUCCACCUUGGCCCUGCCUAACCCCUUUUUGCUCAGUGCAUCGGCCCCUCGCGCGCGUCCGAAAGCUGUCCCGAACCCGACCCGGAUAGUCAUCACCGUUGGGUCCGGAACAUCCCCAAACAUCUACAAAACGUCUCCAUUUUCUUAUUUGGGCACCCUAGCUAUUUAUUCGCGACCGUCCGUUUCCGAUCAGAGAGACCGAGGUAGCCCCUAAGCUAAUCUGUAAGGUAUUUAUAGUCCACCCUUAGUCAUUUUGGACAAGCCCUAAAAUCUAGGGACUUUGUCCCGUCGAGCCGCCGCCACCUACCGUAUCUUCCUCGGGAUCCAGAUCCAAUCCACCUCCUCGCCUCAAUCCAACUGCAACUCGCAGCCACCCACCAAUCCAACUCCACCUUGCCGUAGCGCCACCCGUCGGUUCAGCACGAGCUCCACCCGAGAACAGCCACCGUUCACCGCACCACCAGGCCAUUUCCCCGUGCCCAGUUGCUCCACCGCCGCCUUGCGCUGUCCUCUCCGUCCUCUCGACGUUUAGCAGCGCCAGCAGGACCCCGUCAAGCCCGCGCCAAGCCCCUGCCUCGUCGAGCUUUUCCUCGCCGCCCGGAUCUUUUCCCCAACCGUCGGACCUCCCUGCAAGCGUCGCCGCCGGCGACCACAGGCCAAGCGCCCUGCUUUGCCUCCUUCCCUCGCUCUUCUUCCUCCCUGCACUUUCUCCUCACCAGCUCUCUCUCUCUCUCUCGCAGCAAGACGCCACCGCUGGUGCUCACCGUCGGCCUCGUCGUCGCCGUCCUAGUCCCGACCCCCGCCGGAUCCGGCCGAUCCCCGCCUCGCCUCGUCGCCCGCUGCCAAGUCCUGCAUCGUCGAUGUCCUCCCCUGCUUCUGCCUCGAGCAGGAGGAGACGCUUGCAGCGCCGCCUCGCUCCCAUUGACCGCACCCCUGUUCCUUCGUCGGCCUGGCCAGCCGGCCCAACCACUCACCAGUGCCUCCCCAAGGCCCAGCGUCCCAGCCUGCCUCCUCCUCUCCAUAGUUCCAGGCCAAGGCCCAUGGUGAGCUGCCCCCACCGCCUAUUCAUGUUGGCCCGACUCCAGUUUCGGCCCAUGUAGUAUUUUUUCUCUCGGGACGAAUUUAGCUUUUAUCCAGUGUAAAACAGUUUUACAGAAAAGCCCGUGUGGAUCAUGCAUUUAAUAAUUCCACAACCGUGCAUCGGAUUAAAACAAUUUAUAUAUGAAAUAUGCUUAGUUUUUCAUCUAGUUUCAUAAUAUGUCACUUUCAUCUAUGUUUGAAAUGCUUAAAAUGAUGUUUGCUUUAAUUUGCUCCUAUGCCAUGCUAAAAUACUUUGGUUCAUAACUAAAUAACCGUAACUCGGUUUGUAAUAAACUUUAUAUGUAAAUGGAGUAGAAAAAUGCCUAGUUUAACAUGGUGGCUUUACUUUGCAUGUUUAACAACUCUAAAAUUGUGUUUAGGGCAGAACAGUACCAAACCUUAAAAUAUGCAUAUGGGGUUUUACCGGAAUUGUUGUUGUUGUUUCCGGCCUCAUUUAAACUUGCUUAAAUGUUUAGUUUGCUCAUGCUUCACCCCUUGCCAUGUUAAACAACAUUUAAUAUUGUUGGGUACAUAAACGAUAUCGAACUAAAUAACUUGUUGUGGUGUUUCGUCAUUAUGCAACUCGUUGCAUAUUGAGCUCCACUUAAUUUGUAGGAUUGCUUGUGCACUUUGCCAUGCCAUGCCUCGUUAAACCGGACAUGCAUCAUACUUGUUUGCGCAUCGUGUCAUGCUUAUGUGAUGCUUGUUUACUAUGUUGUUUGCUUUCUUUCCGGUGUACUUCUUCUCGGUAAUCCGGUAACGUUGCGUUUGUGAGGAUACAUUGGCUACGUCCGUUUGUCUUCUUCAUGGACUCGUUCUUCUUCUUUGCGGGAUCUCAGGCAAGAUGACCAUACCCUCGAAAUCACUUCUAUCUUUUCUUGCUAGUUGCUCGCUCUUUUGCUAUGCCUAUGAUGUGAUACCUACCACUUGCUAUAUCAUGCCUCCCAUGUUGCUAAGCCAAGCCUCUAACCCACCUUGUCCUAGCAAACCGUUGUUUGGCUAUGUUACCGCUUUGCUCAGCCCCUCUUAUAGCAUUGCUAGUUGCAGGUGAAGAUUAGAGUUUGUUCCUUGUUGGAACAUGGAUAUUAUUGUUGGGAUAUCACAAUAUCUCUUAUUUAAUUAAUGCAUCUAUAUACUUGGUAAAGGGUGGAAGGCUCGGCCUUAUGCCUGGUGUUUUGUUCCACUCUUGCCGCCCUAGUUUCCGUCAUAUCGGUGUUAUGUUCCCGGAUUUUGCGUUCCUUACACGGUUGAGUUAUAAUGGGAACCCCUUGACAGUUCGCUUUGAAUAAAACUCCUCCAGCAAGGCCCAACCUUGGUUUUACCAUUCGCCACCUAGCAUUUUUCCCUUGGGAGUCGUGCAUCCCGAGGGUCAUCUUUAUUUUAACCCCCCCCCCCCAGGGCAAUGCUUGUCUAAGUGUUGGUCCAAACUAGAGCCCCUUGCAGCGCCACCUCGGGGAAACUCGAGGGCUGGUUUUAGUUGUACGGAUUGCUUAUCCGGUGUGCCCUGAGAAUGAGAUAUGUGCAGCUCCUAUCGAGAUUUGUCGGCACAGCGGGUGGUCUUGCUGGACUUGUUUUACCAUUGUCGAGGAUGUCUUGUAACCGGGAUGCCGAGUCUGAUCGAAUUGCCUUGGGAGAAGGAAUAUCCUUCAUUGACCGUGAGAGCUUGUGAUGGGCUAAGUUGGGACACCCCUGCAGGGAUUUGAACUUUUGAAAGCCGUGCCCGCGGUUAUGGGCAGAUGUGAAUUUGUUAACGUCCGGUUUUAGAAAACCUGAAACUUAACUUAAUUAAAAUGCAUCAACCGCGUGCGUAAUCGUGACGGUCUCUUUCCGGCGGAGUCCAGGAAGUGAACACGAUGUUGGAGUUAUGCUUGACGUAGGUUGUUCUAGGACCACUUCUUGAUCAUAGUUUCUCGACCAUGCUUUGCCUUCUCUUCUCGCUCUCACUUGCGUAUGUUAGCCACCAUAUAUGCUAGUCGCUUGCUGCAGCUCCACCUCAUAUUUUUACCCUUCCUAUAAGCUUAAAUAGUCUUGAUCGCGAGGGUGUAAGAUUGCUGAGUCCCCGUGACUAACAGAUACUUCCAAAACCAGCUUGCAGGUGCCAAUGAAACUGUGCAGGUGACGCAACUGAGCUCAAGGAGGAGCUCGAUGAGAUUCGUGUUCGUUAUGUUGUUCCAUUUCCAGUUGAUCAGUAGUGGAGCCCAGUUGGGAUGAUCGGGGAUCUGUGUAGCAUUUGGGGUAGUCUUCUUUUAUUUUGGUUCCAUAGUCGGACCUUGACUGUAUUUGGAUGAAUGUAAUGCUUUAUUCAUGUAUUGUGUGAAGUGGCGAUUGUAAGCCAACUAUGUAUCUCUUUCCCUUAUGUAUUACAUGGGUUGUGUGAAGAUUACCUCACUUGCGACAUUGCUUUCAAUGCGGUUAUGCCUCUAAGUCGUGCUUCGACACGUGGGGGAUAUAGCCGCAUCGAGGGCGUUACAGGUUACAUCCAGGUUACUACUAAGAACUAAACUAGUAGCGGUAGAACAAUCUUAGGUACAAACAUAAGCCUUAACCACGCAGAACAACUUUUAAACCAACACAGUACAAUAAGUUCUAACCGAAACCAAAGUCUUAAAGAAAGAACAACCAUGGAUUGGACAACCGGAGCUCGAUCGGGCGGUCGCGACGAAGGCAUUGUCGUGCUCCUUGAACUUGGUGACCACCUCCACGCCCUCGUCGUUGAAGACGAUCACCUUCACGGUGUCGGGGGACAACAGCUUGAACGUCAGCAUGUACCUGGUCAUGAUCUGGUGAACGACGACGAAGGUAGCCCAACCCUGGUCAAGGGUGACCCUGUCGUCGAUCACCCUCACCGCCACCCUCCAUGCGCAGCCGGUGUUCUUCUUUAUCUUGAACUAUGUAGGGAUGGCGGGGAAGUGCUUUGUGAUGUCCAGAGGCAAUGGCAGACUCUCCAGCUUUGGAGAAAGGAUAACCUUGCAGAAGUGGUUUGGUCCUGACUUCUAAUGGAAGUGGCCAUAGUUCCUCCGCUUGGGGCUUGGGUGAUCCUGCACUGCCACUUUGAUCAAUGGAGGCACAACCUUCUUGCCCUUAUCCAAUGGUGGCACCACCUUCUUGGCCUUGUCCAUCUACAUUAUGAACGACACGCAUAUCAACGGUUAACAUUCAUUCAUAUCGGCCUAAUGCUCCUAUAUUAACCGACCCCACUAACCCAGCACCAUUCUCAAACCCCCUCUGUUUCACCACCUCUCCUCGGCAUGAACUCCAACUCCAACCCCAACCCUUUCCCCUCGGGCAUUGGAUGGAGGGCAUUCUUCCUUGGGUGCUCACUCGGUGAACGCAAGAAGUUCAAGCACACCAUGGAAGUGUGAUCGAACUUCAACAGCAUCGAUGGCAUGCACAAGGAGGCCGGUGCUAUGAUGAAGAAGGCUACGUCGGACGAGCUGAAGACAUUGGUUCCGGACCCAGCCAAGGGCGCGAUGUCAGUGGACAUCCUGUGCUGGGCCAUGAAUCGGGCAAACUCCAGCGACGCUCGAUAGCGGGCAAGAUGUGCCAAGUACAAUCAGUACAAGGCGCCUCAAGACCAGCGUGGAGCGGCGUACCAUAGGGGGUUUGAGUGUGGUGCUGGGUUAGUGGGGUGGCCAGGGCGGCGGCGGCAGACGACCGUGCAAGACCCAUCGUUCUUGAUGAAGACGAUGAUGAUGAAGCCGAUGAGGAAGAAAGAAGAUGACUAUGCCCCCGCCGCUCGACGCGACUCCAGGGUCACCGCGACUAGACAAUCCAAUCACGCCCCUGAUGUAAUCGAAAAAAUAACCUAUGAGUCCUAGUAGCCGUAGAUGCAUAAUCGAUUAAUGUCAAUCCCCCCAUGUGUUUAGUCCCCUCCCUAACUGUUCAAUCGCGUUCUCUAAUCGAAUCUAGCCCGAGUCGAAAGCAGUGAAUGUACAGAGAGGACGAGGUCUUACCGCCAUGGCCGAUACGCUCUGGUGGAGGUCUACAGUCACUCCGGUGGUUGCCGCCGUCGUCUUGGAUCGAUUCGCAAUAGAGCUUAGGAGGUUGCCGCCGUCGCCGCCGCCGGUGUGAGUGGGGAAGAGGGGAGAGCGCGGUUAGGAAGGGAGGUGAUGGCAAUUUAUGACGACGCGUCUGGAAUCAACGCGACAUCUCGGGACUGCACCCACGCGUGCAACCGCCCACACCCACGUGCCUAGGGUUGCACCGCGCGGGCCUGGCUCCAAAAAAGGCCGAUUUGAGCGUUCCUCAGGUUGCAAACCCAGAGAUGCUUUAAUGUUCAUGCUAUGCAGACCCAAUAGUGAAGGGAGCAACUAGUUAACGAGCGCUCCUUCGGGAGCCUCGCAAUGAUCAGCGCCACUUGGCGCGCUCUCAGCCAUUCGCCACGUGUCGCGCUCUCGAUGCUUCCUUCGAAUUUUAUUUUUUUAUUUUUCCACACGCGUUUUUGGCUUUCAAACGGUUUUCUUUCCGGGUUUUUUCGAUGUUUUGGUUUUCCUCCGGUCUUUCUUAGCUUUUCGAUCAAAAAAAAUUCGAAAUUUUUUUUUUGCGCGAAAAAACGCGUUUUCUUUUUUUCCUUUCACGAAAGUCACGGUUUUUUUUCGCGAGAGGCACGGUUGUGCUUUAUCGAGAGUCAGGGCCGUGCCUUUCGGAAACAAAAAAAAACGUGUUUUUCUUUUUUUUUCUUUCGCGAGAGUCACGGUUUUGCUUCCGCGAGAGGUACGGUUGUGCUUUCGCGAGAGUCACGGCCGUGCCUCUCGGAAAGGGAAAAACAAAACGCGUUUUCUGUUUUUAUUUCUUUCGUUAGAGUCACGGUUUUGCUUCCGCGAGAGGCACGGUUGUGCUUACGCGAAAGUCACGGCCGUGCCUCGCGGAAAGGGAAAAAAUACGCGUUUUCUAUUUUUUUUUCUUUCGUGAGAGUCACGGUUUUGCAUUCGCGAGAGGCACGGUUACGCUUUCGCGAGAGUCAUGGCCAUGCCUCUCGGAAACGGGAAAAAAACGUGUUUCUGUUUCUUUUCCUUCCACGAGAGUCACGGUUUUGCUUCCACGAGAGGCACGGUUGUGAUUUCGCGAGCGGACGUGCCUCUUUCGGAAAGGGAAAAAAUCGUGCUCCCGGUUCGGUUUUUUCGUCCGGUUUUUUUCGUGAAAAAAAAAGUUCGUCAAAACCUAUCAACAUGGGAUCUAGUUUUGAAGAUCUCGAUGCGAGAAAUCCAAUCGUGAAAACAGUUCGAGAUUUGGACGCACGGUUUAAAAGAUAAAACGUUUUGAAUAAACGGAUCUACGAAAAAAGGAAAAAACUCCCAGGUUGCGACAAGUGGCGCGCUGCAUGUGCGCCACUUGUCGCGACCCUAGAAAAUGGAGUAUUUUUUGCAACGAGUACUCCUUAAUUAAUGAUUUCAAACAGUAAAUGUGAAUAAUCAAACAGACUUUUUUCUUCUCGCGCGGGCCUAGCUAAGGUAUAUGCAGCCUACCAAACAUGUCUCGGCGUACUGUGAAACCGUUGCUUUUCCUCCCUCGAAACAAGCAAAAAAAAAAGCAAAAGCAAAAAGCUGUCCCUGACGACUCAGCCCGAGCGGCAAUCCUUGGCUACAAAAGUACUAGAAUCCAGCCGCUCCUCUCUAACCCCACCUCUCAUCUCACAAGCUAGCUAGUUGCUGUAGCUGCCAUGGCCAGGGAUCUCGCCUUCGUCCUCCUCGUCCUUGCCGCGCUAGCCGCCUUCUCGUCAGCGACCAAGCUGACCAUCCACAACCUCUGCCCGCACCCGGUCUGGCCGCUCGUCACCCCCAACGCCGGCCUUCCGUCCAUCUCCGAAAACACCGCGCGCCUCGACACCAACGCGAUUCUCUCCCUCACCUUCCCACCCACCUUCUGGGCCGGCCGCGUCGCGGCCCGCACCGGCUGCAACGACGGCACGUCGCCGCCGCGCGGGUGCUUCACGGGCGACGCGCCGCCGUCCACCGUCGCGCAGAUCACGGUCCACGACAGCGGGAACCUGGACCUCGCCGCGUACAGCGUCAGCCUCGUAGACGGGUUCAACGUGCCGAUGGUGUUGAGCCCGCAGGCCAUCGGCGGCGGGCAGUGCCCGGCGCUCGGCUGCGUCGUGGACCUCAACUGCGACUGCUCUCCGGACAACCGCGCCGCCGAAGGCACCGCGUGCCGCGGGCCCGCGGGGUACUUCAAGAACCGUUGCCCGCUCACCAGGACCACGCCGACAGACGUGGAGCCCGUGCCGCAGAGCUGCCGCGCGCCCGGGGAGCUUAAGAUCGUCCUCUGUCAAUCGUCCACAGGGGCGGAGCUAGCCUAAUGCAAGGGUAUGCAACGCAUACCCAAUAUUUUCUGCUAAUUUUUUUCAGUACAUAUACCCGUAUAUGCAUAUAUAUCAAGCAUGGCCUCAUUUUACACCUACCACGCAUGAAAAUUUGGCAAAGAAGCGCUCCAGCGCCUCGCUUCCUUACCUGGGCUCGCUGGCUACAUUGGGCCUUGACUUGGGGUGUUGGGCCUAGGUUUGGGAAUCCUCAAAAAGAAAAAAAGCAGCCUAGGUCUGGGUAGUUUGCAUCGCUAAUAGGACCUCGCCCUCGGCAGCGGCGUCAGUCGUUUGAUAGGCAGCGAUCAACCGUUAACAGCUGCGUGCAUAUCAUCCCUCGGCUAAUCGGCUUUACGCAUUGUGAGUUUUGUAAUUUUGAAUUUUUCAAAUUGCCAAUUCAAUACAGGGGACUAUAUUUAUCCCUAAGUUCAUCGAUUGAUCUACACGUAUUGGCGCUAUCAUUUGCCCCUUUGAAAAGGGGUUUGGUAGCGUUAAAUUUUGUUUUUGGCUAUAUUCUUGCAAUAUAAAACAAAAUAUUGAAGACCUUGUUGCAAAAAUUAUAAUAAUUAAAAUUCAGUUUUCAUGAUUGUAAACAUUUAUCUCUUAGUGUUGCUUGGCACUAAGAAAAUUUUAACUACGCAUACCCAUGUCAGAAAUCCUGGCUCCGCCACUGGUCGUCCAUGCUCCAGUGCGGCGCCGCGGCGGCGGAGGACGCCGACAUGGUCAUCCGCACCGUCGUCGCCGACAACUAGAGCCCGGAGCUCCGUGUUGUCCUCGCUUUGCCGUACUUCUACGCCAUGCGCGAUCCGUGCGUACGUUUUAUUUAAGAUAAGAGUUCGUGAGCGUCAAUUAAGUGGCCUGUUUUCAUACAAAUGUUGCAGUUAAAUGUUUGUAUUGAGACCUUAGGUUUCGUCAUCUGUAAUACCGGCGGUGUAGCUGGUAGUACUGAGCUAAGCCAUCCGAGUGCAAGGAAAAUAAUGCGAGUGAUUUUCUUCUUGUAAUGUUGCAUUCUUUUCUCUAUGAUUGCUAAACUCCCAUUCCAUGAAAUUUUCGUAAAUGGUAGUCACUCAAAAUAGAACAUCACUUAGCAUAAAAAUGAUAAACUUCGGUUGAAUUGAUAGUAUUCAAUUUGAUAUGAUAACAUGGAUAUUUCGAUUUUUUAAAUAAAUUCUAAUAGUUGGUCGCAUGUUUUUCCUAUUGAAAACAGGGUUGAUUCUCUACAACAAUAUGCUAGCGGUAGAAAAUGAAGUGGAGUCGAAGAAAGAAGCCUCGGCAUUGGAGAAUAGUUUCAGUAACGGCCGGCGGUCCGGCUCGAAAAAUCGGAACCGGUACCUUGUCCGGUGUUUUUAAGGUGUAUAGGUCUUUUGGUGAAAAAAAUCAAGAAAAUAUUUUAAAAAUGAUGUAAAAACUCAAACAACUAACCUUGAGGCAAGGCAUGCCAAGGUUAGAACACUUUGUGAUUUAUUAUUGGGUUACGUUUGAUAUAAUGUGCAUUCAUGUGAUUUUUGG